UGGCGGACGGGUGAGUAAUGUCUGGGAAACUGCCUGAUGGAGGGGGAUAACUACUGGAAACGGUAGCUAAUACCGCAUAACGUCGCAAGACCAAAGAGGGGGCCUUGGGCCUCUUGCCAUCGGAUGUGCCCAGAUGGGAUUAGCUAGUAGGUGGGGUAACGGCUCACCUAGGCGACGAUCCCUAGCUGGUCUGAGAGGAUGACCAGCCACACUGGAACUGAGACACGGUCCAG
Molecule: ribosomal RNA, 233 nt
Filed under: uncultured bacterium
Lineage: Bacteria
Description: partial 16S ribosomal RNA
Rfam family: Bacterial small subunit ribosomal RNA
Source: RNAcentral